This 1608-nucleotide ribosomal RNA is filed under the name metagenome. RNAcentral describes it as "bacterial LSU rRNA". It matches the Rfam family "Bacterial large subunit ribosomal RNA", at positions 1390 to 2925 of the family's 2925-position model. The record is from RNAcentral.
GAUAUUCCCGUACCCGCUUCAAUGCGCCCAUAUUGAACCUCGUGAUGCUAAGAGUCCUUAAGUCCUCUGAUGUCCUUCGGGACUAGGGGUGAGGCUGAACGCUCGAUCCGAUCGGGUAGUAGGUAAGCGAUGGGGUGACGCAGGAAGGUAGUCCAGCCCAGGCGAUGGUUGUCCUGGGGUAAGCAUGUAGGGCGUGUCGUAGGUAAAUCCGCGGCAUUUAAGCCUGAGAUGUGAUGCCGAGCCGAUUGUGGUGAAGUGGAUGAUCCUAUGCUGCCGAGAAAAGCCUCUAGUGAGUGUUGUGGUGGCCCGUACCCUAAACCGACUCAGGUGGUCAGGUAGAGAAUACCAAGGCGAUCGGGUGAACUGUGGUUAAGGAACUCGGCAAAUUGCCCCCGUAACUUCGGGAGAAGGGGGACCUCUGUUGGUGAUGGGCUUUACGCCUGGAGCUGGUGGGGGUCGCAGUGGCCAGGGGGAAGCGACUGUUUACUAAAAACACAGGUCCGUGCGAAGUCGUAAGACGGUGUAUACGGACUGACGCCUGCCCGGUGCCGGAACGUUAAGGGGACCGCUUAGCUGACGUGAGUUGGCGAAGGUGAGAACUUAAGCGCCGGUAAACGGCGGUGGUAACUAUAACCAUCCUAAGGUAGCGAAAUUCCUUGUCGGGUAAGUUCCGACCUGCACGAAUGGCGUAACGACUUCCCCGCUGUCUCAACCGCAGACCCGGCGAAAUUGCACUACGAGUAAAGAUGCUCGUUUCGCGCAGCAGGACGGAAAGACCCCGGGACCUUCACUACAGCUUGACAUUGGCGUUUGGAACGUCUUGUGUAGGAUAGGUGGGAGACUGGGAAGCUGUCACGCUAGUGAUGGUGGAGUCAUUGGUGAAAUACCACUCUGGUCGUUUUGAACGUCUAACUCUGGUCCGUGAUCCGGAUCGGGGACAGUGUCUGGUGGGUAGUUUAACUGGGGCGGUUGCCUCCUAAAGAGUAACGGAGGCGCCCAAAGGUUCCCUCAGCCUGGUUGGCAAUCAGGUGUUGAGUGUAAGUGCACAAGGGAGCUUGACUGUGAGACUGACAGGUCGAGCAGGAGCGAAAGCUGGGACUAGUGAUCCGGCAUCGGCGUGUGGAAGCGGUGUCGCUCAACGGCUAAAAGGUACCCCGGGGAUAACAGGCUGAUCUUCCCCAAGAGUCCAUAUCGACGGGAUGGUUUGGCACCUCGAUGUCGGCUCGUCGCAUCCUGGGGCUGGAGUAGUCCCAAGGGUUGGGCUGUUCGCCCAUUAAAGCGGUACGCGAGCUGGGUUUAGAACGUCGCGAGACAGUUCGGUCCCUAUCCGCUGCGCGCGCAGGAGACUUGAAGGGGGCUGUCCCUAGUACGAGAGGACCGGGACGGACGAACCUCUGGCGUGCCAGUUGUACCGCCAGGUGCACGGCUGGUUGGCUACGUUCGGAAGGGAUAACCGCUGAAAGCAUCUAAGCGGGAAGCUCGCCUUGAGAUGAGGUCUCCCACCACGAGAGUGGGUAAGGCUCCCGGUAGACGACCGGGUUGAUAGGCCGGAGGUGGAAGCACGGUAACGCGUGGAGCUGACCGGUACUAAUAGGCCGAGGACUUGAC